AAGCCCCGGCAGGAAUUAUCCUGCAUCUUAAGGUUUGCAACCUCACAUGCUAACACCCCAGGGCC
RNAcentral lists this transfer RNA (65 nucleotides) under Rana boylii (yellow-legged frog). RNAcentral's name for it is "tRNA-Cys". The record is from RNAcentral. Lineage: Eukaryota; Metazoa; Chordata; Amphibia; Anura; Ranidae.